UAGGGAAUCUUCGGCAAUGGGGGCAACCCUGACCGAGCAACGCCGCGUGAGUGAAGAAGGUUUUCGGAUCGUAAAGCUCUGUUGUAAGAGAAGAACGUGUGUGAGAGUGGAAAGUUCACACAGUGACGGUAACUACCCAGAAAGGGACGGCUAACUACGUGCCAG
This 165-nucleotide ribosomal RNA is filed under the name uncultured bacterium. Its description in RNAcentral is "partial 16S rRNA". It matches the Rfam family "Bacterial small subunit ribosomal RNA", at positions 355 to 511 of the family's 1533-position model. The record is from RNAcentral.